GAUGAACGCUGGCGGCGUGCUUAACACAUGCAAGUCGAACGAGAAGUGAAGACGGAAACCUUCGGGCGGAAGGCUUUAUUUCGAGUGGCGGACGGGUGAGUAACGCGUGGGUAACCUGCCUCAUACAGGGGGAUAACAGUUGGAAACGACUGUUAAUACCGCAUAAGACCACAGCACCGCAUGGUGCGGGGGUAAAAACUCCGGUGGUAUGAGAUGGACCCGCGUUCGAUUAGCCAGUUGGCGGGGUAACGGCCCACCAAAGCGACGAUCGAUAGCCGAUCUGAGAGGAUGACCGGCCACAUUGGGACUGAGAAACGGCCCAAACUCCUACGGGAGGCAGGAGUGGGGAAUAUUGCACAAUGGGGGAAACCCUGAUGCAGCGACGCCGCGUGAGUGAAGAAGUAUUUCGGUAUGUAAAGCUCUAUCAGCAGGGAAGAAAAUGACGGUACCUGAGUAAGAAGCCCCGGCUAACUACGUG
RNAcentral lists this ribosomal RNA (478 nucleotides) under uncultured bacterium. RNAcentral describes it as "partial 16S ribosomal RNA". It matches the Rfam family "Bacterial small subunit ribosomal RNA", at positions 28 to 507 of the family's 1533-position model. The record is from RNAcentral.